This 406-nucleotide ribosomal RNA is filed under the name uncultured bacterium. RNAcentral describes it as "bacterial SSU rRNA". It matches the Rfam family "Bacterial small subunit ribosomal RNA", at positions 354 to 777 of the family's 1533-position model. The record is from RNAcentral.
GUGGGGGAUAUUGCACAAUGGGGGAAACCCUGAUGCAGCAACGCCGCGUGAGGGAAGAAGGUUUUCGGAUUGUAAACCUCUGUCCUCAGGGAAGAUAAUGACGGUACCUGAGGAGGAAGCUCCGGCUAACUACGUGCCAGCAGCCGCGGUAAUACGUAGGGAGCAAGCGUUGUCCGGAUUUACUGGGUGUAAAGGGUGCGUAGGCGGGAUAUCAAGUCAGACGUGAAAUCCAUUGGCUUAACUGAUGAACUGCGUUUGAAACUGGUAUUCUUGAGUGAGUCAGAGGCAGGCGGAAUUCCCGGUGUAGCGGUGAAAUGCGUAGAGAUCGGGAGGAACACCAGUGGCGAAGGCGGCCUGCUGGGGCUUAACUGACGCUGAGGCACGAAAGCGUGGGGAGCAAACAGGA